UACGAAGGGGGCUAGCGUUGCUCGGAUUGACUGGGCGUAAAGGGCGCGUAGGCGGUUCGUACAGUCAGACGUGAAAUUCCUGGGCUCAACCUGGGGGCUGCGUUUGAUACGUGCGGACUUGAAUGCGGAAGAGGGUCGUGGAAUUCCCAGUGUAGAGGUGAAAUUCGUAGAUAUUGGGAAGAACACCGGUGGCGAAGGCGGCGACCUGGUCCGAUACUGACGCUGAGGCGCGAAAGCGUGGGGAGCAAACAGG
This 253-nucleotide ribosomal RNA is filed under the name uncultured bacterium. RNAcentral's name for it is "partial 16S ribosomal RNA". It matches the Rfam family "Bacterial small subunit ribosomal RNA", at positions 524 to 776 of the family's 1533-position model. The record is from RNAcentral.